This 920-nucleotide ribosomal RNA is filed under the name Massilia timonae. RNAcentral describes it as "bacterial SSU rRNA". It matches the Rfam family "Bacterial small subunit ribosomal RNA", at positions 39 to 955 of the family's 1533-position model. Lineage: Bacteria; Pseudomonadati; Pseudomonadota; Betaproteobacteria; Burkholderiales; Oxalobacteraceae. The record is from RNAcentral.
GCGGCAUGCUUUACACAUGCAAGUCGAACGGUAACAGGGAGCUUGCUCCGCUGACGAGUGGCGAACGGGUGAGUAAUAUAUCGGAACGUACCCAAGAGUGGGGGAUAACGUAGCGAAAGUUACGCUAAUACCGCAUACGAUCUAUGGAUGAAAGCAGGGGACCUUCGGGCCUUGUGCUCCUGGAGCGGCCGAUAUCUGAUUAGCUAGUUGGUGAGGUAAAGGCUCACCAAGGCGACGAUCAGUAGCUGGUCUGAGAGGACGACCAGCCACACUGGAACUGAGACACGGUCCAGACUCCUACGGGAGGCAGCAGUGGGGAAUUUUGGACAAUGGGCGCAAGCCUGAUCCAGCAAUGCCGCGUGAGUGAAGAAGGCCUUCGGGUUGUAAAGCUCUUUUGUCAGGGAAGAAACGGCUGUGGCUAAUAUCCACGGCUAAUGACGGUACCUGAAGAAUAAGCACCGGCUAACUACGUGCCAGCAGCCGCGGUAAUACGUAGGGUGCAACCGUUAAUCGGAAUUACUGGGCGUAAAGCGUGCGCAGGCGGUUUUGUAAGUCUGUCGUGAAAUCCCCGGGCUCAACCUGGGAAUUGCGAUGGAGACUGCAAGGCUAGAAUCUGGCAGAGGGGGGUAGAAUUCCACGUGUAGCAGUGAAAUGCGUAGAGAUGUGGAGGAACACCGAUGGCGAAGGCAGCCCCCUGGGUCAAGAUUGACGCUCAUGCACGAAAGCGUGGGGAGCAAACAGGAUUAGAUACCCUGGUAGUCCACGCCCUAAACGAUGUCUACUAGUUGUCGGGUUUUAAUUAACUUGGUAACGCAGCUAACGCGUGAAGUAGACCGCCUGGGGAGUACGGUCGCAAGAUUAAAACUCAAAGGAAUUGACGGGGACCCGCACAAGCGGUGGAUGAUGUGGAUUAAUUCGAU